GCACUGCUGACGAGUCCCAAACAGAACGAAACUGCUGCCCAGUGC
RNAcentral lists this non-coding RNA (45 nucleotides) under Echinostoma caproni. Lineage: Eukaryota; Metazoa; Platyhelminthes; Trematoda; Plagiorchiida; Echinostomatidae. The record is from RNAcentral.